CAGUAGCCGCGGGAAAACCGAGGGUGCAAGCGUUAAUCGGAAUUACUGGGCGUAAAGCGCGCGUAGGUGGUUUGUUAAGUUGGAUGUGAAAGCCCCGGGCUCAACCUGGGAACUGCAUCCAAAACUGGCAAGCUAGAGUACGGUAGAGGGUGGUGGAAUUUCCUGUGUAGCGGUGAAAUGCGUAGAUAUAGGAAGGAACACCAGUGGCGAAGGCGACCACCUGGACUGAUACUGACACUGAGGUGCGAAAGCGUGGGGAGCAAACAGGAUUAGAUACCCCAGUAGUCCCUGUCUCUUAUAA
RNAcentral lists this ribosomal RNA (301 nucleotides) under uncultured bacterium. Its description in RNAcentral is "partial 16S ribosomal RNA". It matches the Rfam family "Bacterial small subunit ribosomal RNA", at positions 509 to 809 of the family's 1533-position model. The record is from RNAcentral.